CCUACGGGGGGCUGCAGUGGGGAAUCUUGCGCAAUGGGCGAAAGCCUGACGCAGCAACGCCGCGUGCGGGAUGAAGGCCUUCGGGUUGUAAACCGCUUUCAGCAGGGACGAAAAUGACGGUACCUGCAGAAGAAGCCCCGGCUAACUACGUGCCAGCAGCCGCGGUAAUACGUAGGGGGCAAGCGUUGUCCGGAUUUAUUGGGCGUAAAGAGCUCGUAGGCGGUUCCGUAAGUCGAGUGUGAAAAAUCUGGGCUCAACCCAGUGGAGCACUCGAUACUGCGGUGACUAGAGUACGGUAGAGGAGUGUGGAAUUCCUGGUGUAGCGGUGAAAUGCGCAGAUAUCAGGAGGAACACCAACGGCGAAGGCAGCACUCUGGGCCGGUACUGACGCUGAGGAGCGAAAGCGUGGGGAGCAAACAGGAUUAGAUACCCCAGUAGUC
RNAcentral lists this ribosomal RNA (440 nucleotides) under uncultured Acidimicrobiales bacterium. RNAcentral's name for it is "bacterial SSU rRNA". It matches the Rfam family "Bacterial small subunit ribosomal RNA", at positions 338 to 795 of the family's 1533-position model. The record is from RNAcentral. Lineage: Bacteria; Bacillati; Actinomycetota; Acidimicrobiia; Acidimicrobiales.